GCCGCUAUAGCUCAAUUGGCAGAGCAACUGAUUUGUAAUCAGUAGGUUGGGGGUUCGAUUCCCUCUAGCGGCACCU
RNAcentral lists this transfer RNA (76 nucleotides) under Candidatus Reconcilbacillus cellulovorans. RNAcentral describes it as "Paenibacillaceae bacterium JTherm tRNA-Thr". It matches the Rfam family "tRNA". From Rfam's summary of the family: Transfer RNA (tRNA) molecules are approximately 80 nucleotides in length. Lineage: Bacteria; Bacillati; Bacillota; Bacilli; Caryophanales; Paenibacillaceae. The record is from RNAcentral.